CUGCCUGCCCAGUGACACUAAGUUUAACGGCCGCGGUAUUAUGACCGUGCAAAGGUAGCGUAAUCACUUGUCUUUUAAAUAAAGACCAGUAUGAAUGGCAAGACGAAAGUUCAACUGUCUCCCUAAAUUAAUCAAUGAAAUUGAUUUUUCCGUGCAGAAGCGGAAAUAUAAUUAUAAGACGAGAAGACCCUAUGGAGCUUUAAACAUAUGAUCAAUUGCGUAACAUAAAAUCCAAAAGAUAAAAUAUUUAAUAAAACAAUAUGAUCAAAAUUUUAGGUUGGGGCGACCACGGAGAAAAACAAAACCUCCGAGAUGAAAAGAAUAUCUUAAUUCGAGAACUACAAUUCUAAAAAAUAAAAUAUUUAACAUAAUUGAUCCAAUACUUUGAUCAACGAACCAAGUUACCCUAGGGAUAACAGCGCAAUCCUCUCCAAGAGUCCCUAUCGACGAGCGGGUUUACGACCUCGAUGUUGGAUCAGGACAUCCCAAUGGUGCAGCCGCUAUUAAAGGUUCGUUUGUUCAACGAUUAAA
This 531-nucleotide ribosomal RNA is filed under the name Hynobius kimurae (Hida salamander). RNAcentral's name for it is "partial large subunit ribosomal RNA". It matches the Rfam family "Bacterial large subunit ribosomal RNA", at positions 1854 to 2592 of the family's 2925-position model. Lineage: Eukaryota; Metazoa; Chordata; Amphibia; Caudata; Hynobiidae. The record is from RNAcentral.